This 161-nucleotide ribosomal RNA is filed under the name Clonostachys sp. Its description in RNAcentral is "partial large subunit ribosomal RNA". It matches the Rfam family "Eukaryotic large subunit ribosomal RNA", at positions 99 to 265 of the family's 3401-position model. Lineage: Eukaryota; Fungi; Ascomycota; Sordariomycetes; Hypocreales; Bionectriaceae. The record is from RNAcentral.
CGGCAACAGCUCAAAUUUGAAAUCUGGCGCAAGCCCGAGUUGUAAUUUGUAGAGGAUGCUUUUGAUGCGGUGCCUUCCGAGUUCCCUGGAACGGGACGCCAUAGAGGGUGAGAGCCCCGUACGGUUGGAUGCCUAGCCUCUGUGAAACUCCUUCGGCGAGU